This 546-nucleotide ribosomal RNA is filed under the name Fusarium circinatum. RNAcentral describes it as "eukaryotic LSU rRNA". The stretch from base 190 to 343 matches the Rfam family "5.8S ribosomal RNA". The record is from RNAcentral. Lineage: Eukaryota; Fungi; Ascomycota; Sordariomycetes; Hypocreales; Nectriaceae.
GUAACAAGGUCUCCGUUGGUGAACCAGCGGAGGGAUCAUUACCGAGUUUACAACUCCCAAACCCCUGUGAACAUACCAAUUGUUGCCUCGGCGGAUCAGCCCGCUCCCGGUAAAACGGGACGGCCCGCCAGAGGACCCCUAAACUCUGUUUCUAUAUGUAACUUCUGAGUAAAACCAUAAAUAAAUCAAAACUUUCAACAACGGAUCUCUUGGUUCUGGCAUCGAUGAAGAACGCAGCAAAAUGCGAUAAGUAAUGUGAAUUGCAGAAUUCAGUGAAUCAUCGAAUCUUUGAACGCACAUUGCGCCCGCCAGUAUUCUGGCGGGCAUGCCUGUUCGAGCGUCAUUUCAACCCUCAAGCCCAGCUUGGUGUUGGGACUCGCGAGUUAAAUCGCGUUCCCCAAAUUGAUUGGCGGUCACGUCGAGCUUCCAUAGCGUAGUAGUAAAACCCUCGUUACUGGUAAUCGUCGCGGCCACGCCGUUAAACCCCAACUUCUGAAUGUUGACCUCGGAUCAGGUAGGAAUACCCGCUGAACUUAAGCAUAUCAA